AAAUUGAAGAGUUUGAUCAUGGCUCAGAUUGAACGCUGGCGGCAGGCCUAACACAUGCAAGUCGAACGGUAACAGGAAGCAGCUUGCUGCUUUGCUGACGAGUGGCGGACGGGUGAGUAAUGUCUGGGAAACUGCCUGAUGGAGGGGGAUAACUACUGGAAACGGUAGCUAAUACCGCAUAACGUCGCAAGACCAAAGAGGGGGACCUUCGGGCCUCUUGCCAUCGGAUGUGCCCAGAUGGGAUUAGCUAGUAGGUGGGGUAACGGCUCACCUAGGCGACGAUCCCUAGCUGGUCUGAGAGGAUGACCAGCCACACUGGAACUGAGACACGGUCCAGACUCCUACGGGAGGCAGCAGUGGGGAAUAUUGCACAAUGGGCGCAAGCCUGAUGCAGCCAUGCCGCGUGUAUGAAGAAGGCCUUCGGGUUGUAAAGUACUUUCAGCGGGGAGGAAGGGAGUAAAGUUAAUACCUUUGCUCAUUGACGUUACCCGCAGAAGAAGCACCGGCUAACUCCGUGCCAGCAGCCGCGGUAAUACGGAGGGUGCAAGCGUUAAUCGGAAUUACUGGGCGUAAAGCGCACGCAGGCGGUUUGUUAAGUCAGAUGUGAAAUCCCCGGGCUCAACCUGGGAACUGCAUCUGAUACUGGCAAGCUUGAGUCUCGUAGAGGGGGGGUAGAAUUCCAGGUGUAGCGGUGAAAUGCGUAGAGAUCUGGAGGAAUACCGGUGGCGAAGGCGGCCCCCUGGACGAAGACUGACGCUCAGGUGCGAAAGCGUGGGGAGCAAACAGGAUUAGAUACCCUGGUAGUCCACGCCGUAAACGAUGUCGACUUGGAGGUUGUGCCCUUGAGGCGUGGCUUCCGGAGCUAACGCGUUAAGUCGACCGCCUGGGGAGUACGGCCGCAAGGUUAAAACUCAAAUGAAUUGACGGGGGCCCGCACAAGCGGUGGAGCAUGUGGUUUAAUUCGAUGCAACGCGAAGAACCUUACCUGGUCUUGACAUCCACGGAAGUUUUCAGAGAUGAGAAUGUGCCUUCGGGAACCGUGAGACAGGUGCUGCAUGGCUGUCGUCAGCUCGUGUUGUGAAAUGUUGGGUUAAGUCCCGCAACGAGCGCAACCCUUAUCCUUUGUUGCCAGCGGUCCGGCCGGGAACUCAAAGGAGACUGCCAGUGAUAAACUGGAGGAAGGUGGGGAUGACGUCAAGUCAUCAUGGCCCUUACGACCAGGGCUACACACGUGCUACAAUGGCGCAUACAAAGAGAAGCGACCUCGCGAGAGCAAGCGGACCUCAUAAAGUGCGUCGUAGUCCGGAUUGGAGUCUGCAACUCGACUCCAUGAAGUCGGAAUCGCUAGUAAUCGUGGAUCAGAAUGCCACGGUGAAUACGUUCCCGGGCCUUGUACACACCGCCCGUCACACCAUGGGAGUGGGUUGCAAAAGAAGUAGGUAGCUUAACCUUCGGGAGGGCGCUUACCACUUUGUGAUUCAUGACUGGGGUGAAGUCGUAACAAGGUAACCGUAGGGGAACCUGCGGUUGGAUCACCUCCUUA
RNAcentral lists this ribosomal RNA (1543 nucleotides) under Escherichia coli. RNAcentral's name for it is "bacterial SSU rRNA". It matches the Rfam family "Bacterial small subunit ribosomal RNA". The record is from RNAcentral. Lineage: Bacteria; Pseudomonadati; Pseudomonadota; Gammaproteobacteria; Enterobacterales; Enterobacteriaceae.